UAACGCGUGGGUAACCUGCCUCAUACAGGGGGAUAACAGUUAGAAAUGACUGCUAAUACCGCAUAAGCGCACAGUGCUGCAUGGCACAGUGUGAAAAACUCCGGUGGUAUGAGAUGGACCCGCGUCUGAUUAGCUAGUUGGUGGGGUAACGGCCUACCAAGGCGACGAUCAGUAGCCGGCCUGAGAGGGUGACCGGCCACAUUGGGACUGAGACACGGCCCAG
This 223-nucleotide ribosomal RNA is filed under the name uncultured bacterium. RNAcentral describes it as "partial 16S ribosomal RNA". It matches the Rfam family "Bacterial small subunit ribosomal RNA", at positions 111 to 334 of the family's 1533-position model. The record is from RNAcentral.